AGAGUUUGAUCAUGGGUCAGAUUGAACGCUGGCGGCAGGCCUAACACAUGCAAGUCGAGCGGUAGAGAGAAGCUUGCUUCUCUUGAGAGCGGCGGACGGGUGAGUAAUACCUAGGAAUCUGCCUGAUAGUGGGGGAUAACGUUCGGAAACGGACGCUAAUACCGCAUACGUCCUACGGGAGAAAGCAGGGGACCUUCGGGCCUUGCGCUAUCAGAUGAGCCUAGGUCGGAUUAGCUAGUUGGUGAGGUAAUGGCUCACCAAGGCUACGAUCCGUAACUGGUCUGAGAGGAUGAUCAGUCACACUGGAACUGAGACACGGUCCAGACUCCUACGGGAGGCAGCAGUGGGGAAUAUUGGACAAUGGGCGAAAGCCUGAUCCAGCCAUGCCGCGUGUGUGAAGAAGGUCUUCGGAUUGUAAAGCACUUUAAGUUGGGAGGAAGGGCAGUUACCUAAUACGUGAUUGUCUUGACGUUACCGACAGAAUAAGCACCGGCUAACUCUGUGCCAGCAGCCGCGGUAAUACAGAGGGUGCAAGCGUUAAUCGGAAUUACUGGGCGUAAAGCGCGCGUAGGUGGUUUGUUAAGUUGAAUGUGAAAUCCCCGGGCUCAACCUGGGAACUGCAUCCAAAACUGGCAAGCUAGAGUAUGGUAGAGGGUAGUGGAAUUUCCUGUGUAGCGGUGAAAUGCGUAGAUAUAGGAAGGAACACCAGUGGCGAAGGCGACUACCUGGACUGAUACUGACACUGAGGUGCGAAAGCGUGGGGAGCAAACAGGAUUAGAUACCCUGGUAGUCC
RNAcentral lists this ribosomal RNA (793 nucleotides) under uncultured bacterium. Its description in RNAcentral is "bacterial SSU rRNA". It matches the Rfam family "Bacterial small subunit ribosomal RNA", at positions 8 to 796 of the family's 1533-position model. The record is from RNAcentral.